Molecule: transfer RNA, 89 nt
Filed under: Erysipelothrix sp.
Lineage: Bacteria; Bacillati; Bacillota; Erysipelotrichia; Erysipelotrichales; Erysipelotrichaceae
Description: tRNA-Ser
Rfam family: tRNA
About the family: Transfer RNA (tRNA) molecules are approximately 80 nucleotides in length. Their secondary structure includes four short double-helical elements and three loops (D, anti-codon, and T loops).
Source: RNAcentral
GGAGAAUUGGCCGAGUGGUUUAAGGCACCGUCUUGGAAAGGCGGCGAAGUGAAUAGCUUCCGAGGGUUCGAAUCCCUUGUUCUCCGCCA